RNAcentral lists this non-coding RNA (20 nucleotides) under Gossypium hirsutum (cotton). Lineage: Eukaryota; Viridiplantae; Streptophyta; Magnoliopsida; Malvales; Malvaceae. The record is from RNAcentral.
UUAGUUGAUUUGUCUCUUAA